Long non-coding RNA from Etheostoma spectabile (orangethroat darter), 100 nucleotides. RefSeq lists it as uncharacterized. NCBI's taxonomy places the organism in Eukaryota, Metazoa, Chordata, Actinopteri, Perciformes, Percidae. The transcript has 2 exons. The record is from RefSeq and is a predicted model, not a curated record.
AUCUGUCAGAGGGAGAGCAGGAGUGCAGAUGGGAAGUUUAACGUUGGUGGUCCCCAGAGAAGAAAUUGGUAAUUUCAUAGCACAGAUUAGAACCCAAAUU